GGCCUCUCACAACCAUAUUUGCAACAUCAACACUGUCAAGUACUUAACUAAGUUCAAUCCCAAUCAUUUGAAAUACUUGCAUACCAUAAACUUUAUUUAAUGGCUCAUAUUUCAUGUUCUCAGGUAUUUGUAAAUUCAUAACUUUAAUUUUUGUUUAAAUUAUCAAUUAAAGUAAUAACUUCCCAAUAUGCAUGAUAAAAUAUAAAUUUACUUGUACAGUAUUGAGUUACUUACGCCUGUACAGAAUAAGUUUGACUCAACUCCGAAUUAUAGAUACAUAAUCAACAGCUUUCUUUUUACCUAACAUGCUGAUUCUGAUUAUC
RNAcentral lists this unclassified non-coding RNA (323 nucleotides) under Hevea brasiliensis (rubber tree). The record is from RNAcentral. Lineage: Eukaryota; Viridiplantae; Streptophyta; Magnoliopsida; Malpighiales; Euphorbiaceae.